Molecule: ribosomal RNA, 266 nt
Filed under: uncultured bacterium
Lineage: Bacteria
Description: partial 16S ribosomal RNA
Rfam family: Bacterial small subunit ribosomal RNA
Source: RNAcentral
GUCCACGCUGUAAACGAUGAACACUAGGUGUCGUGGGUAUUGACCCCCGCGGUGCCGCAGCUAACGCAUUAAGUGUUCCGCCUGGGAAGUACGGUCGCAAGACUAAACUCAAAGGAAUUGACGGGGGCCCGCACAAGCGGUGGAGCAUGUGGUUUAAUUCGACGCAACGCGCAGAACCUUACCUGGGCUGGAAAGUCAUCGGAACCCUGAUGAAAGUUGGGGGUGCUCGCAAGAGAGCCGGUGGACAGGUGCUGCAUGGCUGUCGU